CGGGGUGUAGGUCAGCUCGGCAGACCGCCUGGAUGGGGUCCAGGAAGUCGGCAGUUCGAAUCUGCCCACCCCGA
Molecule: transfer RNA, 74 nt
Filed under: Chloroflexota bacterium
Lineage: Bacteria; Bacillati; Chloroflexota
Also listed under: 1 other name
Description: Chloroflexi bacterium tRNA-Pro
Rfam family: tRNA
About the family: Transfer RNA (tRNA) molecules are approximately 80 nucleotides in length. Their secondary structure includes four short double-helical elements and three loops (D, anti-codon, and T loops).
Source: RNAcentral